AAGGGUCCGGCAGGCGGAUUUAUAAGUCAGUGGUGAAAGCCUACAGCUCAACUGUAGAACUGCCAUUGAUACUGUAAGUCUUGAAUUCGGUCGAAGUGGGCGGAAUAUGACAUGUAGCGGUGAAAUGCUUAGAUAUGUCAUAGAACACCGAUAGCGAAGGCAGCUCACUAGGCCUGGAUUGACGCUCAGGGACGAAAGCGUGGGGAGCAAACAGGAUUAGAUACCCGAGU
RNAcentral lists this ribosomal RNA (230 nucleotides) under uncultured bacterium. Its description in RNAcentral is "partial 16S ribosomal RNA". It matches the Rfam family "Bacterial small subunit ribosomal RNA", at positions 563 to 791 of the family's 1533-position model. The record is from RNAcentral.